CUGAUGUUGAGUCCGCAUUGCAAGUUCUGAAUUUUGCAAUAUAAGUUGACUGAGAUGGGAGAGCAUGAACAAGUGGAUAGACUUGAGGUUUUACCUUCUCCCCAUUCAUGUAUCUUAAAAAGAUCUCUUCACAGCUCUGGAAACAAUCCAAUGGAUGUGGAUGUAGGGAACACUUCAAGUGACCAACAUGUUCCAACAGAGAGGUUGCACAUAACAUACAAGUCUGAAGCUUUGUUUUGUUUAUGCCUAAUCCUUAGCUGUCCUUGUUUUUUGAUAACAUGCGGGAUUGAAGCAUCUGAAGUAAUUCUUGGUAAGCAUGUGUUGGAAAACCAUAUAGAUCAAAUGUCAACUGAUGAAGUCGAGCAAUCGAUUAACAGGGACUACAAGAUACAAACAGGGUAAUGAUGUGGAAUGGUAUUGUUCGAAUCGUAUAGCUACCAUUGUAGCAAGAUGUUUACCUACAGGUCCCCUGGCCAUGAUGUGUCAUGAUGGAUGUCUGAUGAAUCCAGCUAAAGCUCUACAUUUGUAAUGAACGCUUUCUGACGGGGGCACGACGAUAACGCGCUUUCUAUUCUAGUAUGCUUAGUUAGAUUCA
Zea mays is the source of this 595-nucleotide long non-coding RNA. RefSeq lists it as uncharacterized. The transcript has 3 exons. The record is from RefSeq and is a predicted model, not a curated record. NCBI's taxonomy places the organism in Eukaryota, Viridiplantae, Streptophyta, Magnoliopsida, Poales, Poaceae.